RNAcentral lists this ribosomal RNA (256 nucleotides) under uncultured Planctomycetota bacterium. RNAcentral's name for it is "uncultured planctomycete partial 16S ribosomal RNA". It matches the Rfam family "Bacterial small subunit ribosomal RNA", at positions 927 to 1181 of the family's 1533-position model. The record is from RNAcentral. Lineage: Bacteria; Pseudomonadati; Planctomycetota.
AAGCGGUGGAGUAUGUGGCUUAAUUCGAGGCUACGCGCAGAACCUUAUCCCGGGCUUGACAUGCACGGAUUAGCCGGCGGAAACGUCGGUGAGGCCGCGAGGUACAACGUGCACAGGUGCUGCAUGGCUGUCGUCAGCUCGUGCCGUGAGGUGUUGGGUUAAGUCCCAUAACGAGCGAAACCCCUACCCUGAGUUGCUACCGGCAACGGGCACUCUCGGGGGACUGCCGGUGUCAAACCGGAGGAAGGUGGGGAUG